RNAcentral lists this ribosomal RNA (395 nucleotides) under uncultured bacterium. Its description in RNAcentral is "bacterial SSU rRNA". It matches the Rfam family "Bacterial small subunit ribosomal RNA", at positions 30 to 426 of the family's 1533-position model. The record is from RNAcentral.
AUUGAACGCUGGCGGCAUGCCUUACACAUGCAAGUCGAACGGCAGCACGGACUUCGGUCUGGUGGCGAGUGGCGAACGGGUGAGUAAUGCAUCGGAACGUGCCAUUGAGUGGGGGAUAACGUAGCGAAAGUUGCGCUAAUACCGCAUAUUCUGUGAGCAGGAAAGCAGGGGACCGCAAGGCCUUGCGCUCUUUGAGCGGCCGAUGUCAGAUUAGCUAGUUGGUGAGGUAAAGGCUUACCAAGGCGACGAUCUGUAGCGGGUCUGAGAGGAUGAUCCGCCACACUGGAACUGAGACACGGUCCAGACUCCUACGGGAGGCAGCAGUGGGGAAUUUUGGACAAUGGGGGCAACCCUGAUCCAGCCAUGCCGCGUGAGUGAAGAAGGCCUUCGGUUGG